GGAGGAGCCCAGAGCCUGAAUCAGUGUGUGUGUUAGUGGAAGCGUCUGGAAAGGCGCGCGAUACAGGGUGACAGCCCCGUACACAAAAAUGCACAUAUUGUGAGCUCGAUGAGUAGGGCGGGACACGUGGUAUCCUGUCUGAAUAUGGGGGGACCAUCCUCCAAGGCUAAAUACUCCUGACUGACCGAUAGUGAACCAGUACCGUGAGGGAAAGGCGAAAAGAACCCCGGCGAGGGGAGUGAAAAAGAACCUGAAACCGUGUACGUACAAGCAGUGGGAGCCUCUUAAUGGGGUGACUGCGUACCUUUUGUAUAAUGGGUCAGCGACUUAUAUUCUGUAGCAAGGUUAACCGAAUAGGGGAGCCGAAGGGAAACCGAGUCUUAACUGGGCGUUAAGUUGCAGGGUAUAGACCCGAAACCCGGUGAUCUAGCCAUGGGCAGGUUGAAGGUUGGGUAACACUAACUGGAGGACCGAACCGACUAAUGUUGAAAAAUUAGCGGAUGACUUGUGGCUGGGGGUGAAAGGCCAAUCAAACCGGGAGAUAGCUGGUUCUCCCCGAAAGCUAUUUAGGUAGCGCCUCGUGAAUUCAUCUCCGGGGGUAGAGCACUGUUUCGGCAAGGGGGUCAUCCCGACUUACCAACCCGAUGCAAACUGCGAAUACCGGAGAAUGUUAUCACGGGAGACACACGGCGGGUGCUAACGUCCGUCGUGAAGAGGGAAACAACCCAGACCGCCAGCUAAGGUCCCAAAGUCAUGGUUAAGUGGGAAACGAUGUGGGAAGGCCCAGACAGCCAGGAUGUUGGCUUAGAAGCAGCCAUCAUUUAAAGAAAGCGUAAUAGCUCACUGGUCGAGUCGGCCUGCGCGGAAGAUGUAACGGGGCUAAACCAUGCACCGAAGCUGCGGCAGCGACACUAUGUGUUGUUGGGUAGGGGAGCGUUCUGUAAGCCUGUGAAGGUGGCCUGUGAGGGUUGCUGGAGGUAUCAGAAGUGCGAAUGCUGACAUAAGUAACGAUAAAGCGGGUGAAAAGCCCGCUCGCCGGAAGACCAAGGGUUCCUGUCCAACGUUAAUCGGGGCAGGGUGAGUCGACCCCUAAGGCGAGGCCGAAAGGCGUAGUCGAUGGGAAACAGGUUAAUAUUCCUGUACUUGGUGUUACUGCGAAGGGGGGACGGAGAAGGCUAUGUUGGCCGGGCGACGGUUGUCCCGGUUUAAGCGUGUAGGCUGGUUUUCCAGGCAAAUCCGGAAAACCAAGGCUGAGGCGUGAUGACGAGGCACUACGGUGCUGAAGUGACAAAUGCCCUGCUUCCAGGAAAAGCCUCUAAGCAUCAGGUAACAUCAAAUCGUACCCCAAACCGACACAGGUGGUCAGGUAGAGAAUACCAAGGCGCUUGAGAGAACUCGGGUGAAGGAACUAGGCAAAAUGGUGCCGUAACUUCGGGAGAAGGCACGCUGAUAUGUAGGUGAAGCGACUUGCUCGUGGAGCUGAAAUCAGUCGAAGAUACCAGCUGGCUGCAACUGUUUAUUAAAAACACAGCACUGUGCAAACACGAAAGUGGACGUAUACGGUGUGACGCCUGCCCGGUGCCGGAAGGUUAAUUGAUGGGGUUAGCGGUAACGCGAAGCUCUUGAUCGAAGCCCCGGUAAACGGCGGCCGUAACUAUAACGGUCCUAAGGUAGCGAAAUUCCUUGUCGGGUAAGUUCCGACCUGCACGAAUGGCGUAAUGAUGGCCAGGCUGUCUCCACCCGAGACUCAGUGAAAUUGAACUCGCUGUGAAGAUGCAGUGUACCCGCGGCAAGACGGAAAGACCCCGUGAACCUUUACUAUAGCUUGACACUGAACAUUGAGCCUUGAUGUGUAGGAUAGGUGGGAGGCUUUGAAGUGUGGACGCCAGUCUGCAUGGAGCCGACCUUGAAAUACCACCCUUUAAUGUUUGAUGUUCUAACGUUGGCCCGUAAUCCGGGUUGCGGACAGUGUCUGGUGGGUAGUUUGACUGGGGCGGUCUCCUCCUAAAGAGUAACGGAGGAGCACGAAGGUUGGCUAAUCCUGGUCGGACAUCAGGAGGUUAGUGCAAUGGCAUAAGCCAGCUUGACUGCGAGCGUGACGGCGCGAGCAGGUGCGAAAGCAGGUCAUAGUGAUCCGGUGGUUCUGAAUGGAAGGGCCAUCGCUCAACGGAUAAAAGGUACUCCGGGGAUAACAGGCUGAUACCGCCCAAGAGUUCAUAUCGACGGCGGUGUUUGGCACCUCGAUGUCGGCUCAUCACAUCCUGGGGCUGAAGUAGGUCCCAAGGGUAUGGCUGUUCGCCAUUUAAAGUGGUACGCGAGCUGGGUUUAGAACGUCGUGAGACAGUUCGGUCCCUAUCUGCCGUGGGCGCUGGAGAACUGAGGGGGGCUGCUCCUAGUACGAGAGGACCGGAGUGGACGCAUCACUGGUGUUCGGGUUGUCAUGCCAAUGGCACUGCCCGGUAGCUAAAUGCGGAAGAGAUAAGUGCUGAAAGCAUCUAAGCACGAAACUUGCCCCGAGAUGAGUUCUCCCUGAGACUUAGAGUCUCCUGAAGGAACGUUGAAGACGACGACGUUGAUAGGCCGGGUGUGUAAGCGCAGCGAUGCGUUGAGCUAACCGGUACUAAUGAACCGUGAGGCUUAACCUU
This 2645-nucleotide ribosomal RNA is filed under the name Escherichia coli. Its description in RNAcentral is "bacterial LSU rRNA". It matches the Rfam family "Bacterial large subunit ribosomal RNA". Lineage: Bacteria; Pseudomonadati; Pseudomonadota; Gammaproteobacteria; Enterobacterales; Enterobacteriaceae. The record is from RNAcentral.